UUGAACAUUAUGGUCCCAGCUGUCGACGGGCCUCCUGGACACAAACACACACACACACGUGCACGCUCUCACACACACACACACACACACACACACACACACACACACACACACACACACACACACACACACACACACACACACACACACACACACACACACACACACACACACACACACACUCUCAUGCACAUCCCGAGGCAAGCGUCUGAUCAUCCGAGGCGUCGUCUUCCAGACUUUAAAUCGCCUAUUUUCAGUCUAUAAAGUGUUUAAAAUAUUCUCCGAAAGCUCAUUUUGCCUUUUUCGCUUUAUUAUUUCACACGCAGGGGAAAUUACGGCGGCAAAAGGUAUCGAUUCGCAGAUGUGUUUGCUGAUAAUGGAGUUUUUUUGUGUGUGAAAGCAAGUCAGAAGAAAAAGACACAAGGACAACACAGCUCUGAUAUCAAGUCUACCCAUUUAUUUCCAUUUUCAGAGUAAUUUAUUUUUCUCAAUGGAUUUACUAGAUCUAUCAUAUUAGCAGGGAUAAUAUCUGUGGAUAUGAGUUUGGCUGAAAUUAGAUUACACAAAAAAAGUCAGCUAAAUAUUAGUUUAUCGGAUCUCAAGACAUUUCUCUGACAAAAACAGGGUGAAACUGUUCUCUGAAGGAACUCAAAUGUGACCUUUUAAGCCCCACUGAUUGAUGACCAGAACAAAUGUACGACAGAUUAACAAGGAGACGGAUAUUUAGUGGCUGUGGGGUUUGUUUACCAGCUAAAAUAGCAUCAGAGUACAUGAUACAAAAACCGUGCCUCAUUCAACUGAGGGGUUCUCUACAAAAAUACAUCUAAGAACUGCUUUUUUCUCCUCUAAUGCAAUCAGUUCAUCACAUUAAUAAAUAAAACCUACAUCCAUGGAGAACAUGUGGUUUGUAACCCCUGGUGGUGCACGGCUACAGGGAGAGAACACGUUUGCUGUACGAGCGCCGUCACACCAGCUAGAUAUAACCCUGGUGUUUUACGCUCAGAGCUGCAAGAAGAAGAAGAAGUGGGUUUUUGUGACAGCAAGCUGCAGGUACAAGAGAAGUGAGAACACCUAUACAGUGUCACAUGAUUCAAAAUGGCAUAAAUUGACAAUAAUUUCAAUAUUUUUAGGCUGAACAGUGGAGUGUUACCUCUGAACAAGUAUCAAAAACUGACGCUUCAGAAGGAAUAUAUUGAAACGUUGGACCACAGAGUAGAAACUCAAAGCAACAAAAGUAAAUCAAGUGAAAAAGUGAGUCAAAACUGAGUCCAGCUGUGAUUUCCAGUCAGUCUAACUGCAUGAACAUGGUUCUAAAAUGAGCUGUGAACAGCAGAACAUCCAGUUUUGGACCUAUGGCCUGUGUCUAUGUCUGCAUCAUGGCUCCGCAUGGAAAAUAAUUGAAGACGGGAAGUGAAAGAUCUGAGUGUCAGACUCCACAAAGAUUAAAAAAACUAACAAACAAACAAAAAAAACAUCCAACCAAACUGACCAGGACUACCACAGUGGAUGCAUAGUCCUGACAGUGAAGCACGGAGGUGGAAGUAUGAUGAUAUGAGGCUGCAAGAGUGCAAAAGGUGAUCCAGGAAGGUCAGAGAGCAACUAAAAAUCAGUGAACAGUAGUAAUCAGGAGGUCUAGAAGAAGUCAUAGUACCACUAAUCAGGAGGUCUAGAAGGACUCAUAGUACCACUAAUCAGGAGGUCUAGAAGGAGUCACAGUACCACUAAUCAGGAGGUCUAGAAGGAGUCAUAGUACCACUAAUCGGGAGGUCUAGAAGGAGUCAUAGUACCACUAAUUGGGAGGUCUAGAAGGAGUCAUAGUACCACUAAUCGGGAGGUCUAGAAGGAGUCAUAGUUCCACUAAUCAGGAGGUCUAGAAGGAGCCAUAGUUCCACUAAUCAGGAGGUCUAGAAGGAGUCAUAGUACCACUAAUCAGGAGGUCUAGAAGGAGUCAUAGUACCACUAAUCAGGAGGUCUAGAAGGAGUCAUAGUACCACUAAUCAGGAGGUCUAGAAGGAGUCAUAGUUCCACUAAUCAGGAGGUCUAGAAGGAGUCAUAGUUCCACUAAUCAGGAGGUCUAGAAGGAGUCAUAGUACCACUAAUCAGGAGGUCUUGUAGGAGUCAUAGUUCCACUAAUCAGGAGGUCUGGAAGGAGUCAUAGUUCCACUAAUCAAGAGGUCUAGAAGGAGUCAUAGUACCACUAAUCAGGAGGUCUAGAAGGAGUCAUAGUACCACUAAUCAGGAGGUCUAGAAGGAGUCAUAGUUCCACUAAUCAGAAGGUCUAGAAGGAGUCAUAGUUCCACUAAUCAGGAGGUCUAGAAGGAGUCAUAGUACCACUAAUCAGGAGGUCUAGAAGGAGUCAUAGUUCCACUAAUCAGAGCUCCUAAAAUGACUCCACAGACAGUGAACUACUUUCUCCAUCCAGCUGUAAAAACAGACAGCAGCUGCUUCAGACUUGGUUCAGGUGUUCUCCAUGGAAACCAGAGUUAGUGUGAAGCUCAGACAGUUUGAAGGAACCUUCAGAACAUCAACCUCUAUGGACGGGGGACAAGAACUAAACCUCGUUGCUGCUCAGAACUAAACUUCCAGAUGAAAGUUUGCUGAAGAACAUGAGAAGAAGUCUGAUGGAUGUUGAAGAACAUUCUUUGGUUAGAUGAAGAUAAAUGAGUUGGACUCAGAUGGAUCCAGAUGCUCGGUGUGAACCUGACCAGGACCACCACAGUGGAUGUAUAGUCCUGAGAGUGAAGCACGGAGGUGGUGGUAUGAUGAUCUGGAGCUGUAUGAGGAAGGUGUUGAUGACAUUUCUGGAUGCGUCAUGAAUGUCUGAGGAUAAACCAGAAUACAGAGAAUCAUCCAAAGAACUACAUGACGCAAGAAUGUCUAAAGAAGUGAAAAGUACGACGUGGAAAAUCUGUGUCUGGACUUGAACCUAAUGGAACAUCUUUGGGUGUGUUUUAAAGAGGAAGGUCGAGCAACAAAACCCUUUCAGCAAAGAGAAGCUGAAAAAAUAGAAUGACGUGACAUCUGAGCAGCAAUUUGGUUUCCUCAAUGCUGAGCAAGAUUAAUUGUCUCAAUGAAUAAAGGUGGAACCUCAGAAUUCACUUCUGUUGCACUGAGCUCCUACUGCAGGGUCUGUUGUUUUAAAUAUAGUAAAUCUAAGCUGUUGGUUUUUCAUUUUACAUCACAGCAAGCAGAUUAGAAGUACUGCCAUCACUGAGAUGUUUACUGCACAGGGGUGUACUCACUUCUGUAUACUGAGCGUCACCAUUGGCUCCAAAGUGUCACCAUUGGCUCCAUAGUGUCACCAUUGCCUUUAUAGUCACACCAUUGGCUCCACAGUGUCACCAUUGGCUUUAUAGUGUCACCAUUGGCUUUAUAGUGUCACCACUGGUUCCACCACAGCGUCACCAUGGUGACAUGUCCAACACACCGUAGAACACCUGCGGAGGAAGCAUCAGUUUGUUCCUGAUGACUUCCAUGAAGAUGGCAGAGUGGGUGAGGCUGCAGAAUAAUCAGUGUGUGUCCAGGAUCGAUAGAUUUUACAGCCUAAAGAUUUUACUCAGAAUAACAACACUGAUCCGCCCACACACACACAAAAAAACACAAUAAGCCAAAAAAAAUGCUUCUUGUAAUUGAAUUUUAAUGCACAUAGUUAUUUGUUUCUGUUUGUUUGCGGUCUGAAACCAGAGUAAUCUAUAGUCGCUGAGACGGAUCAGCGCUGCCAGGGAUGGCCCAAAGCAAUCGCAGCCAGAUGUUCGACUUCAGAGGGAACGUCAGAGAAAACAAUGUGUGGGAGUGACUCUGCUCUUCGCUCAUCGUUUCUGCUGCCGAUCACACCUCUGAAGUCUGUGCAUCGCCCUCUCUGGGUUUACAAAGAUGCGUUCGCAUUCUCUUAAUUGUGAUGGAUUUUCACUCCCGCGCUUCGUGACACAAAGUAGAAAUAAUUAAAACCGAAGUGAGCGAGAGGCCGGAUCCUCCUCCGUAACCCUUUAAAGGAAAAAGCACCCUGAGGGGCUGCUCAGGUGGAAUACAGAAACUUCCUGCAUUUCAGUGAAACAAAGCACUCGAGUUAUUUUGUCAGCGGGUGGAAAAUCACCUGUCAGGCUGCAAACCGGCUGAUGAGCAUCAUUCCAGAAUUAGGGGACAUUUUAUGUCCCACCAUCAAAUUUCCAAUAAUCCAUGUACAAAAUACUAAAACAUGCAGUUGUUGUGUAAAUGUUCUUGUCCUGAGACCAAAUCUAAAAAACAAAAUUAGGAGAAAAGAAUGUUUGAAAAUAUUUUUAAAAUACCAAAUAAGUCUGGAGUCCCCUUAAAAUGCCAUUUUUCUCUUGUCCCACGUCCCUGAUGACCAAACUGAAUCUCAAAUAAAACACUUAAAAUUACAUUUAAAUGUCCUUUUUGGUAUUAUUUUUUUCAUUGUUGUCUCUGUAAUUGUGGGAACAUUUUUUGUUAAUCAACGUAAUAUUUUAAGUAAUUAUACAUGAAACGUGUGUCCCACAACAUGUUAGCACAACCUGUUAAUGACGUUUUUGUCUUGUUUUUGUUGUUUUCUGUCUCGUUUUUGUUUUCUGUCUUGUUUUUGUUAUUGCUGUUAGCAACCCUGUUGCUGUGAUUAGAGUUAGCAAACAACACAGAAAACAUGGAAUAAAAAUGCUACCAUUGAUGUGGAAGCUGAGCCAAUCAAGCCUUUGAUAGUUUAUUACCUAUUAUUGAUCGAUAUGGAGCAGAAAACUGUAAAAGAGAAGGUUUAUUUUUCAAACAUUUUGAAGCCCAAAUAUCCUCCAGCUCUGAAACGACCCAGGAAGUGGUUGUUUGACAGUCAAAUCCUCACAUCUGGUCUCCUGUUGGAGUCACAUGUUUCGUUUGAGUCGCUAAACGUUAAGUUUUCCACCGCUUUGAGGUACUUUUAGAGCAGCAGCAGCCGAGUGAGACGGCAGAAAAUCAACAGUCUAAAACGUCAAAUGUAAAGGUCAGCCGCUGGAGUCGGUUCAUCACAACCAAAGAGCAAAGGCUUAUUUCUGAACUUAACAUUUUGCUCUGACGUUCAGCCGUCACACGCUGAAGACACCAAAUUAAAAACGGAACCCGGCGUCAGGCGUGUGCAGAGUUCUGUAGGACGAGGCUGGAUCUGAAGUAACUACGAGCUGCUUCACUUCUUACUGAGCAGUUUAUAUUCACGACAGCAGAUAAAUGCACUUUAAAACACCUCCUCCUGACCAAUCAAUUCUCCAGUUUUAAAUCCCACAGUGCUCCGUGCAAAGACAUUACUGUGGUAGAAUGUUUCAAGAUGCAAUUUCAAAGCUAAUUAAUUGUUCUAUCGGCCUUAAAUAUCAAUAAAAUCCUAAAACAGACACUAAAGUCGUGAUUUUAUAAGACUUGCAGUGAAGUUACCGAUACGUUGGAGUGAACAGUCAAACAAAUUUACUCUACUUAUUUCCUCUACUGUUGUCACUCAUCUGCACUGUUUUUAAUAUUCUGUCCCAUAUCUACCACUUUAUCUCACGGCCAUGUUUACAUUUCUAACCCUAUGGAGAUAUUCCAUUAAAAAUCAGCUGUUUCCAGCUAGAAUAGUCAUUUACCACAUUAACAAUGUCUACACUGGAUUUAUCAUUCAUUUAAUGUUAUCUUCAUUGAAAAAAAACUGCAUUUCUUUCAAAAAUAAGGACAUUUUUAAGUGACCCCAAACGUUUCAAUAGUUGUGUAUUUGUUACUUAGUUCCAGUUUUGCUUCCGUUGUUCUUAGUUGACCUGAUUUUUGCUUUCUAGUUCUUCAUUUACUUAAUUUUUGGCCUUUUUAAAUCCUAUUUUUUAUUUUUGUAAAUUUAUGUUAUAUUUUUUCAUCUCAGAAUCUUCUAAGUGUCUAUUUAAUGUCUAUUGUUGCAUGAAGAGAGAGUAAGGUCAUUUCCACCCUUGGUGUGUCAUGUCCAUAUUGAAGAAAUGACAAUAAAAUUGACUUUGACUUUUUAAAAAAAAAAAUCUGUUCUUUGCUUGCUUCAAAUAAUCUGAUUGAAAAGACCUUUAUUUUAAUUAUUUCAUUAUUUAUUGACAGCAUUAAGGGACUGCAGCUAGCAAUUAAUUCCAUUAAUCUAAUGAUUAUUUUCUUGAAUAACUAAUUAGUGGUUUGGUUUACAAAAUGGUGAAACAUGACAAUGGUUGGGAAAUGUCUUGUUUUGUCCAAAUAUUUUUCACUUUUCUGUCACUGAGAAGAUGAGAAACCAGAAAAUAUUCAUAUUGAAGAAGCUGCGAUGAGGGAAUAUUGGCCAUUUUAAAAAUUACUUAACCAACCCAAUUAAUAGAUUAUCAAAUAACUGAUGAAUGUUCAACUUCUAAUAAAACGUGUUUUUAAAAAGCUGCUCUGGACAGUGAAAGCCAAACCCCUGAUCAUUGGAGCAGCAGGUUUUGUUAGCAUUCAGCUAACUGCAGCCGCCUGAUGCUGCAUUCACAUCAUGAAGGUGAAGCUCAUGUUUCUGAUGCUGUUCAGGGGUAUUUGUGUGAAUUUAAAAAAAAAAAAAAAAAAACAAGGAUGUUUUUUCUAUGUUAAAAGGGAACACCUCACACUAGAAUUGGACCAGCCAAUCAGGUUGCUUCACCCUUGUAUCGUCCUGCGGGUCAAAGUUUGAAAAUGUGGAAAACAUUUCACAGUGAAACUUCUCAUGUCCACAUUUUCAACGUUUUUGGGAAAUCUUUGAACAUUUUUUGGUGGAAGUAAAGAAUGUUAAAAAUGUUUCUUAACAACAUUCACAAAAAAAAACAAAAUUUUGCGAAUUUCACUGGAUUUUGGUUGAUUUUUAUGUGAAUGUUCUUAAAGAAAAUAUUAGAAGUAUUACUGAUAUAUAUGGAAUCACUUUAGAUAUUUUUAGGAUUUUUUGGAAGAAUUUUACUCAUUUUUGAAAAAUAUUUACAAGAACUUUCUUGCCAAAUUUGGGGACUUUUUUUUUUUUUUUUUUUUAAAUAAAACUUUUAAGGGAAACUUUUAAGGAAUUGUUGGAAUUUACUUCCUGAAGGUUUUGCGAAUUUUCAGAAAUUUGGGGAUUUUUUUUUGCUGAAUUUUUUUUAUUUUUUCAGACAAGGAAACAAUAUUUUGUGGUGCCUGUAAAUGAGGAAAACAGGAGGGUUAAUGUUAAGAUCACCAAAAAACAGCUGCAACUAGCGAUUAAUUCCAUUUUCUGUUGAUUAUUUUCUCGAUUAAUUGAUUGUUCGGUCUAUAAAAUGGGGCAAAAUGUUGAUCAGUGCAUUUCUGGAAGCUCAAGUUGACAAAAGUCUUAUUUUGUCCAAAUAUUUUCAGUUUUCUGUCACUGAGAAGGAAAAAAAAUGAAAAUAUUUACAUUUAAGAAGCUGUAGCUAGACAAUUCAGGCGUUUUUUAGAUGACUUAACCCAGUAAAGUGUCCAAUAGUUGACAAUGAAUGUUUCUGAAAAGUCAAAUCCAUAUUCUUCUAUUUAAUGUUAAAUUUCUAAUGCUGCUCUGGACAGUGAAAGCUAAACCUCUGAUCAUUUGAGCAGCAGGUUUUGUUAGCAUUCAGCUAACUGCAGCCGCCUGAUGCUGCAUUCACAUCAUGCGGGAACAGAAAAUUUCCCAUUAUUCCGACUGGCUAGUGUUCACACAUCCAUUAUCUCUGCCCACUUAUACUCGCACACCCUGAACGUGUCGUCUUCUUUUACUAUUCUCUCCUCGUCGUGCUGCAGCGUCGCAUUUAACACGACUCACAAUGGGCAUUUCUUUGAAACUCUGGCAGCAGAAUGCGUCUUCUUUUAUUACUAUUCGUGUACUUUCUUUCUUUCUGUCGAACUGGUGCUGACUUACGAUGGAAAUCGACUGCAGAUGGUGCAGUUUUGGGGAUGCGGUGCUGUUAAUUUAGCCUCCAGCUUCCAGUCUUAUGAUGAGCAACCAGCUGCAUGUACUCAGAUUUUAUUGAAACGUUCAACAAACUGACUCAGAAGCAGCUCCCCGAGACCUGGAGACAAACUUUGAUGUGCAAAAUCGGUGGAGUUUUCCUUUAAUUUCUGCUUUUAGGUCCAUUCCAGAUUUGGAAGACAUUUUACCCAUCAAAUUUCAAAUAAUCCAAAAUACUAAAACAUGCAGUUGUUGUGUAAAUGUUCUUGUCCUGAGACCAAAUCGAAAAAGAAAAAUUAUUGAAAAUAUUUUUAAAAUACCAAAUAAGUCUGGAGUUCCUCUAAAAUGACAUUUUUCUCUUGUCCCACCCCCUGAUGACCAAACUGAAUCCUGUUUCUUGAAUCCUGAAUCUUGUCUCUGUCAUUUUGUGUCUUGUUUUUGUCAUUUUGUGUCUUGUUUUUUCAUUUUGUCUCAUUUUUGUCAUUAUGUGUCUUUUUUUGUUGUUUUGUGUCUUGUUUUUUUCAAUUUGUGUCUUGUUUCUGUCAUUUUGCAUCUUGUUUUUGUCAUUUUGUGUCAUGUUUUUGUUGUUUUGUCUUGUUUUUGUUGUUUUAUGUCUCAUUUUGGUCAUUUUGUGUCUCAUUUUUAUUUUGUCUUGUUUUUUGUCAUUUUGUGUCCUGUUUUUGUCAUUUUCUGUCUCUUUUCUGUCAUUUUCCGUCUCGUUUUUGACAUUUUGUGUCUCGUUUCUGUCGUUUUCCAUCUUGUUUUUGUCAUUUUGUCUCGUCUCUGUCGUUUUGUGCCUUUUUUCAUUUUCUGUCUUGUUGUUUUUCUCAUUUUUUUGUCUUAUUUCUAUCAUUUUGUCACGUUUUUGUUGUUUUGUGUCUCGUUUUUACCAUUUUGCAUCUUGUUUUUGUCAUUUUAUAUCUUAUUUUUGUCAUUUUGUGUCACGUUUUUGUCAUUUGAUGUCUUGUUUUUGUCAUUUCCAUCAUCAAACAGUUUUCCUAAAGAAUGUGUAGAUCAAAGCUAUGUCCUCUCUUCUAUUUUUC
This is a long non-coding RNA of Amphiprion ocellaris (clown anemonefish), 8871 nucleotides long. NCBI's taxonomy places the organism in Eukaryota, Metazoa, Chordata, Actinopteri, Pomacentridae. The record is from Ensembl.